UGGGGAAUAUUGGACAAUGGGCGCAAGCCUGAUCCAGCCAUGCCGCGUGAGUGAUGAAGGCCCUAGGGUUGUAAAGCUCUUUCACCGGUGAAGAUAAUGACGGUAACCGGAGAAGAAGCCCCGGCUAACUUCGUGCCAGCAGCCGCGGUAAUACGAAGGGGGCUAGCGUUGUUCGGAUUUACUGGGCGUAAAGCGCACGUAGGCGGACUAUUAAGUCAGGGGUGAAAUCCCGGGGCUCAACCCCGGAACUGCCUUUGAUACUGGUAGUCUUGAGUUCGAGAGAGGUGAGUGGAAUUCCGAGUGUAGAGGUGAAACUCGUAGAUAUUCGGAGGAACACCAGUGGCGAAGGCGGCUCACUGGCUCGAUACUGACGCUGAGGUGCGAAAGCGUGGGGAGCAAACAGG
This 404-nucleotide ribosomal RNA is filed under the name Actinomycetes bacterium. RNAcentral describes it as "Actinobacteria bacterium partial 16S ribosomal RNA". It matches the Rfam family "Bacterial small subunit ribosomal RNA", at positions 355 to 776 of the family's 1533-position model. Lineage: Bacteria; Bacillati; Actinomycetota; Actinomycetes. The record is from RNAcentral.